AUUCUAGUUCCUCCAUUCCACAAUACAUGCCUUCUAUUUGUCAAAAUAUAGAUGUAUCUAGACAUGUUUUGGUAUAUAGGUACAUCCAUUUUUGGACAAAUGGAAGUCAAGUAUUUUGGAAUGGAGGGAGUACACA
Triticum aestivum (bread wheat) is the source of this 136-nucleotide non-coding RNA. The record is from Rfam. Lineage: Eukaryota; Viridiplantae; Streptophyta; Magnoliopsida; Poales; Poaceae.